UCCCCCAGCCACCCCCUCUCCACCACCAUCUGGCUGCUAAGGGGUGAUGCCUGGCCUGCCAGGGCCUCCAGACUCUGCUCCUGCUCUAUGGCUGGCAUCUGAUUGGUCAGUGCCUUACUGUGUGGUUGUUAAAUGUCUGAGUGAUGGACCAGCCUGAUGCCGAGGAUGGGGAUGCAGCAGAUGCCUGACAGGGCUCCGGGCCUGGCGCGUGGACAUGCAGCAAGUCCCCGGGUUCACCAAAGACUGCUUGCUCCCAUGAGCUUCUUUGGAACCAGGCCGUUUGGAACUCAGAGUGCGUGUCCCACGCAAACGAUGCCCUAAACAGCGCUGAGCACGCCCAGCUGGCCCACCCUGUCUGUUAAAGCUGUCCACAUACCCUGGACCGCCUAACAGCUCCGGGCACCUGCCACCAUGUGGCCAUGAGCAAACACUUGGGAUCUUCUCAGUCAGUGGGCAGUGGGGAGGUGGCUAACCUGUGUCCACCAGGGUUCUUUCAGCUUACAUCCGCUGAGCAUCUGCUCUGGGCCUGGUCCUCAUUUGGGGAGAAACACAGACAUGGCUCCUAUACCUCAAGGGUCUCAGUGUAGGGCAGAACUCAGGAUAGGCGGCAAAUACCUACACCCAAACCUAAAGGGGUCCCAUUAGGAGAGGGGUGUGUUUAGUGCAAAGGGGAGUCCUGGGUGGGUCACAGCCAAGUGGGAUGGGAGCAGGGAGCUGAAGAAAGAGGGUACAGGGAGAAUUGGCGGUGGGCUGGACUCUGAAAGGCAGGGGCAGGCAGAGCAUUCCAGGGUAAGGGGCCGUGUAAGCGAAGGUGUGAAGGGCUUUUUCACUAGACUGUGGAAGGAUGGGGGCAACGCAGGCGCGAGGCCAUGAGCCGGGUGAGGCGGCCUUGCAGGAAGCCAGGCAGUGGUGGGCACGGGAGAUGAACACUAAGAGGCUCACAGGACCCCCCACCACGUUCCUGAAGCCUGGACACUCCAAGGGAGGCAGCAGGUGGAACCCCUCCAGACACACUUCUCUUUGCAACUCCCCCAGCUCCUCCCCAGGUGCAGGGGCCCACGGGCUGGCCAGCCACACCUGUCUACAUGGGAAAGUGGAGGUGGGUCCUAGAGACAUCCAGUCUCCUUCCACAUCACUGGGGACAGGAAGGGUGAGUCUCCAUCAGCCCCUCAGACAGCCUUCCCGCCUGGGGCCGCAGAGAAGCCUCAGAGACAGGACCCCUCCUUUCCUGGGGAAAAUCUUCAGAUCAGAGUAUUCUCGCCACUGAGGCUGCACAGACACCAGCACACAACCCCAUGCUACAGCCCU
This 1308-nucleotide long non-coding RNA is filed under the name Equus caballus (horse). Its description in RNAcentral is "lncRNA (ENSECAG00000059903.1)". Lineage: Eukaryota; Metazoa; Chordata; Mammalia; Perissodactyla; Equidae. The record is from RNAcentral.